Molecule: ribosomal RNA, 593 nt
Filed under: uncultured fungus
Lineage: Eukaryota; Fungi
Description: eukaryotic LSU rRNA
Rfam family: Eukaryotic large subunit ribosomal RNA
Source: RNAcentral
AUAUUAAUAAGCGGAGGAAAAGAAACUAACCAGGAUUCCCCUAGUAACGGCGAGUGAAGCGGCAACAGCUCAAAUUUGAAAUCUGGCUCUUUCAGGGUCCGAGUUGUAAUUUGCAGAGGGCGCUUUGGCAUUGGCAGCGGUCCAAGUUCUUUGGAACAGGACGUCACAGAGGGUGAGAAUCCCGUAUGUGACUGGGUACCUACGCUCAUGUGAAGCUCUUUCGACGAGUCGAGUUGUUUGGGAAUGCAGCUCAAAAUGGGUGGUAAAUUUCAUCUAAAGCUAAAUAUUGGCCAGAGACCGAUAGCGCACAAGUAGAGUGAUCGAAAGAUGAAAAGCACUUUGGAAAGAGAGUUAAACAGUACGUGAAAUUGUUGAAAGGGAAGCGCUUGCAAUCAGACUUGCGCCUAGUUGAUCAUCCGGGCUUCUGCCCGGUGCACUCGAUUAGGCUCAGGCCAGCAUCGGUUUGGGUGGUUGGAUAAAGGCUUGGGGAACGUAGCCUCCUUCGGGGGGUGUUAUAGCCCCAGGUGCAAUGCAGCCCACCUGGACCGAGGACCGCGCUUCGGCUAGGAUGCUGGCGUAAUGGUUGUAAGCGA